Molecule: long non-coding RNA, 344 nt
Organism: Helianthus annuus (common sunflower)
Lineage: Eukaryota; Viridiplantae; Streptophyta; Magnoliopsida; Asterales; Asteraceae
Exons: 2
Source: RefSeq, a predicted model, not a curated record
AUAUUUAGACCUAGUGUCUUAUUGAAUUAGGACACGUGUAGGUCGGGAAUUAUUUUGGACAUUUGGUUUUGCUAGCAUACGCACGGAACGCAGUUUGUAAGUGAAAUUUGGUUCGUGGCUUUAAGAAGUUGCAUGCAUCAUGGACGAUACCUUUUGGGGGUUUUGCCUUGUAUAUUUCAUCGUAUCGGAAAUAUACUUGACAAAUCCUAGGAACUUUAUAAACAAUAUAACUUUUGGUCGUAUGUGUUUUUGAAACUGGAAGUUGUGUAAACUAAAUAUAUUGUUAUGGUUUGUAAACUUUAAACUUCGGUAUCGUUGAUGCUUAAUCAUAUUAGUUGUUUGCU